CCUACGGGUGGCUGCAGUGGGGAAUAUUGCACAAUGGGCGCAAGCCUGAUGCAGCCAUGCCGCGUGUGUGAAGAAGGCCUUCGGGUUGUAAAGCACUUUCAGCGGGGAGGAAGGCGUUAAGGUUAAUAACUUUGGCGAUCGACGUUACCCGCAGAAGAAGCACCGGCUAACCCCGUGCCAGCAGCCGCGGUAAUACGGAGGGUGCAAGCGUUAAUCGGAAUUACUGGGCGUAAAGCGCACGCAGGCGGUCUGUCAAGUCGGAUGUGAAAUCCCCGGGCUCAACCUGGGAACUGCAUUCGAAACUGGCAGGCUAGAGUCUUGUAGAGGGGGGUAGAAUUCCAGGUGUAGCGGUGAAAUGCGUAGAGAUCUGGAGGAAUACCGGUGGCGAAGGCGGCCCCCUGGACAAAGACUGACGCUCAGGUGCGAAAGCGUGGGGAGCAAACAGGAUUAGAUACCCUAGUAGUC
RNAcentral lists this ribosomal RNA (465 nucleotides) under uncultured Klebsiella sp. Its description in RNAcentral is "bacterial SSU rRNA". It matches the Rfam family "Bacterial small subunit ribosomal RNA", at positions 338 to 795 of the family's 1533-position model. The record is from RNAcentral. Lineage: Bacteria; Pseudomonadati; Pseudomonadota; Gammaproteobacteria; Enterobacterales; Enterobacteriaceae.